UUGUUGGUAAGGUAAAAGCUUACCAAGGCUUCGAUCAGUAGCUGGUCUGAGAGGACGACCAGCCACACUGGGACUGAGACACGGCCCAGACUCCUACGGGAGGCAGCAGUGGGGAAUUUUGGACAAUGGGGGCAACCCUGAUCCAGCCAUGCCGCGUGAGUGAAGAAGGCCUUCGGGUUGUAAAGCUCUUUCAGCCGAAACGAAACGGUUACGGUUAAUACCCGUGACUACUGACGGUACCGGAAGAAGAAGCACCGGCUAACUACGUGCCAGCAGCCGCGGUAAUACGUAGGGUGCGAGCGUUAAUCGGAAUUACUGGGCGUAAAGCGUGCGCAGGUGGUUUUGUAAGUCAGAUGUGAAAGCCCCGGGCUCAACCUGGGAACUGCGUUUGAAACUACAAGACUAGAGUGUGGCAGAGGGGGGUGGAAUUCCGCGUGUAGCAGUGAAAUGCGUAGAGAUGUGGAGGAACACCGAUGGCGAAGGCAGCCCCCUGGGUCAACACUGACGCUCAGGCACGAAAGCAUGGGGAGCAAACAGGAUUAGAUACCCUGGUAGUCCAUGCCCUAAACGAUGUCAACUAGUUGUCGGGCCUUUACGGGCUUGGUAACGUAGCUAACGCGUGAAGUUGACCGCCUGGGGAGUACGAUCGCAAGAUUAAAACUCAAAUGAAUUGACGGGGACCCGCACAAGCGGUGGAUUAUGUGGAUUAAUUCGAUGCAACGCGAAAAACCUUACCUACCCUUGACAUGUAUCGAAGCCCGCAGAAAAGCGGGGGUGCCCGAAAGGGAACGAUAACACAGGUGCUGCAUGGCUGUCGUCAGCUCGUGUCGUGAGAUGUUGGGUUAAGUCCCGCAACGAGCGCAACCCUUGUCAUUAAUUGCCAUCAUUUAGUUGGGCACUUUAAUGAGACUGCCGG
Molecule: ribosomal RNA, 916 nt
Filed under: uncultured bacterium
Lineage: Bacteria
Description: bacterial SSU rRNA
Rfam family: Bacterial small subunit ribosomal RNA
Source: RNAcentral